RNAcentral lists this ribosomal RNA (379 nucleotides) under Pireneitega luctuosa. RNAcentral describes it as "partial large subunit ribosomal RNA". The record is from RNAcentral. Lineage: Eukaryota; Metazoa; Arthropoda; Arachnida; Araneae; Agelenidae.
UCAAUGAAAUUUAAAUAGCCGCAACACAUUUGUGCUAAGGUAGCAUAAUAAUUUGUCUUUUAAUUAAAGACUAGAACAAAAGAUUUAACAUUUUCAUUUCUUUCUUAAUAAUAUAUAUUAAAAUUAUCUUAAAUAUAAAAAGAUAUUUAUUAAACAAAAAGACGACAAGACCCUAUUGAACUUAACUAAAGUUUAACUGGGGCAGUUAAUUAAAUAUUAUUUUAAUUAAUAAUUUACAAACACCUAAUACAAUUAAAUUCAUCAAGUUACCAUAGGGAUAACAGCGUAAUAAUUUUUUAUAGCUCUUAUUUAAAAAAUAAUUUGCGACCUCGAUGUUGAAUUAAUAAUCUAUUAAAUGCAAUAAUUUAAUAAGAAAGUC